RNAcentral lists this ribosomal RNA (172 nucleotides) under uncultured bacterium. RNAcentral describes it as "partial 16S ribosomal RNA". The record is from RNAcentral.
AUUACCGCGGCUGCUGGCACGUAGUUAGCCGGGGCUUCCUCCUAUGGUACCGUCACCUUAUUCGUCCCAUAAGACAGAGCUUUACGAUCCGAAAACCUUCAUCACUCACGCGGCAUUGCUGGUUCAGGGUUUCCCCCAUUGACCAAUAUUCCCGACUGCUGCCUCCCGUAGG